CAGUUUCGUAUGUGUUUUAAGUAGAAAUAAAGACAUUAUAAUUGAAUAAACGUUUUCCCCUUGCUAACCAUGCCCUCUCAGGGUUAACAGCAAGCAAAUGGAAUAAAGUGGAAUCCUUGCAAAAGUAACCACAAAUAAGACAACCAUGGGGGGAGAGGUGGGUUUCAGCUUUCCUGGUUGCCUGCCAUAGAGGUUUGCUCAUAUGUGAUUGAUUGCUCUGGUGUAUUCUUGAAUUGGGGAUUUCAUUGCCACCAGACAUUCAGCAACAGCAAUACGGCAGAGCAUGGAAGGUGAACCUGAGAUUAUGGACUUCAAUCAGCCCCCAUGAGACCAUGGCCCAUCAGCAAAGGUGAUACAGUUGUAUACAAAAACUAAAUGCCACACUUCCUCCUGGAACAUUAAUUGAAAAAAAAAUUUCACAG
Molecule: long non-coding RNA, 422 nt
Filed under: Vulpes vulpes (red fox)
Lineage: Eukaryota; Metazoa; Chordata; Mammalia; Carnivora; Canidae
Description: lncRNA (ENSVVUG00000013963.1)
Source: RNAcentral